ACUCAAAUGAAUUGACGGGGGCUCACACAAGCGGUGGAGCAUGUGGCUUAAUUCGAAGCAACGCGAAGAACCUUACCCGGGUUUGACAUGCUUGGAUGUUUUCCGGCGAUGAGUUGGAAAAUUACCCGCAAGGGUGAAACAAGCACAGGUGUUGCACGGCUGUCGUCAGCUCGUGCUGUGAAGUGUCGGGUUAAGUCCCUUAACGAGCGAAACCCUUGCCGUCAGUUACCAUCAGGUAAUGCUGGGGACUCUGGCGGGACUGCCGGCGUUAAGCCGGAGGAAGGUGGGGAUGACGUCAAGUCAUCGUGGCCCUUAUGCCCGGGGAUGCACACGUGCUACAAUGGCGACGACAAAGGGCUGCAAGACCGUAAGGUGGAGCAAAUCCCAAAAAAGUCGCCCCAGUUCGGAUUGGAGGCUGCAAUUCGCCUCCAUGAAGUUGGAAUCGCUAGUAAUCGCGCAUCAGCUACGGCGCGGUGAAUGUGUUCCUGAGCCUUGUACACACCGCCCGU
Molecule: ribosomal RNA, 509 nt
Filed under: uncultured bacterium
Lineage: Bacteria
Description: partial 16S ribosomal RNA
Rfam family: Bacterial small subunit ribosomal RNA
Source: RNAcentral